Small nucleolar RNA from Suncus etruscus (white-toothed pygmy shrew), 126 nucleotides. RefSeq annotates it as small nucleolar RNA SNORA51. The record is from RefSeq and is a predicted model, not a curated record. Lineage: Eukaryota; Metazoa; Chordata; Mammalia; Eulipotyphla; Soricidae. The transcript has a single exon.
GGCCUCCCAAUGCUUACCACAGGCUGUGUUCUUUACACUGAGAAAGAGGAGGUACAGUAAAUGCUCCCCAUAUAUACCUCAAACCAGACCCUUUGCCUGGUCUGUAUUGUGAAUGGAGGGACAAAA